Molecule: transfer RNA, 76 nt
Filed under: bacterium
Lineage: Bacteria
Also listed under: 1 other name
Description: tRNA-Arg
Rfam family: tRNA
About the family: Transfer RNA (tRNA) molecules are approximately 80 nucleotides in length. Their secondary structure includes four short double-helical elements and three loops (D, anti-codon, and T loops).
Source: RNAcentral
GCGCUCGUAGCUCAGGGGAUAGAGCAGCCGCCUUCUAAGCGGCUGGUCGCUGGUUCGAAUCCAGCCGGGCGCGCCA